UACGGGGGGAGCAAGCGUUGUUCGGAUUUACUGGGCGUAAAGGGCGCGUAGGCGGUCAGCACAAGUCAGUUGUGAAAUCUCCGGGCUUAACUCGGAAAGGUCAACUGAUACUGUGCGACUAGAGUGCAGAAGGGGCAACUGGAAUUCCCGGUGUAGCGGUGAAAUGCGCAGAUAUCGGGAAGAACACCCGUGGCGAAGGCGGCUCUCUGGAACGAUACUGACGCUGAGACGCGAAAGCGUGGGGAGCGAACAGG
This 254-nucleotide ribosomal RNA is filed under the name uncultured bacterium. RNAcentral's name for it is "partial 16S ribosomal RNA". It matches the Rfam family "Bacterial small subunit ribosomal RNA", at positions 524 to 776 of the family's 1533-position model. The record is from RNAcentral.